GACUAAGCGUACACGGUGGAUGCCCUGGCAGUCAGAGGCGAUGAAGGACGUGCUAAUCUGCGAAAAGCGUCGGUAAGGUGAUAUGAACCGUUACAGCCGGCGAUGUCCGAAUGGGGAAACCCAGUGUGAUUCGUCACACUAUCGUUAACUGAAUACAUAGGUUAACGAGUGCUAAUCUGCGAAAAGCGUCGGUAAGGUGAUAUGAACCGUUACAGCCGGCG
This 221-nucleotide ribosomal RNA is filed under the name Klebsiella pneumoniae. RNAcentral's name for it is "partial 23S ribosomal RNA". It matches the Rfam family "Bacterial large subunit ribosomal RNA", at positions 1 to 215 of the family's 2925-position model. Lineage: Bacteria; Pseudomonadati; Pseudomonadota; Gammaproteobacteria; Enterobacterales; Enterobacteriaceae. The record is from RNAcentral.